AUGUGGCCGAUCGGACCGCUCUGUCUCGCGGUCCCCGAACCGGCAGUCCAGAGCAAAGACGACCGUGACAUCUCGGACUGGCUGGACUCGAGGCUCGCCAUGGACCGGCCGGUCCUCUACGUCGCGUUCGGCUCGCAGGCCGAGCUGAGCCGGGCGCAGCUUGAGGAGAUCGCCGUCGGGCUAGACCACUCCGGCGUAGACUUCCUAUGGGUGGUCCGGUCCAAAUGGUUCGACACGGGGGAUCGGUUUAAUGACAGGUUCGGAGAUAGGGGCAAGGUGGUGGAAGGUUUCAUCAACCAGCUGGGAGUGCUAAGUCACAAGUCAGUCAAAGGAUUUUUCACCCACUGCGGGUGGAACUCGGUGCUGGAGAGCAUCACCAUGGGUGUGCCAAUACUGGCGUUCCCGUUGGGGGCCGAGCAGAAGCUCAACGCCAAGUUCGUCGUGGACGUGGUCCACAUGGGGCUCCGAGUUUGGCCCAAAGAAGAUGCUGACAAGGAAGGCAGUGGAUUGGUUGUGAGUGGAGACGUGCAGGUGUUGGCGAGGGAGUUGAUCUUCGGAGAGGAAGGGCGACGUGCCGCGGCUAGAGCAAGUGAGCUAUCUGCGUCUUCUAGAAAGGCCAUGGAUGUGGGUGGUUCCUCGUAUGAGAACCUGACAAAGAUGGUUCACGAGGUCUGUGAGACCCGUGCCGGGAGUGAGUAA
This 699-nucleotide ribosomal RNA is filed under the name Triticum aestivum (bread wheat). RNAcentral describes it as "partial small subunit ribosomal RNA". Lineage: Eukaryota; Viridiplantae; Streptophyta; Magnoliopsida; Poales; Poaceae. The record is from RNAcentral.